This 333-nucleotide ribosomal RNA is filed under the name uncultured Glomus. RNAcentral describes it as "partial 28S large subunit ribosomal RNA". It matches the Rfam family "Eukaryotic large subunit ribosomal RNA", at positions 192 to 533 of the family's 3401-position model. The record is from RNAcentral. Lineage: Eukaryota; Fungi; Glomeromycota; Glomeromycetes; Glomerales; Glomeraceae.
GAAUUCGCCCUUCAUGGAGGGUGAGAAUCCCGUCCGGUUGAUCAUUUGCGUUUUACGAUACGCUUUCUAAGAGUCAAGUUGUUUGGGAUUGCAGCUUAAAAUGGGAGGUAAAUUUCUCCUAAGGCUAAAUAACGGCGAGAGACCGAUAGCGAACAAGUACCGUGAGGGAAAGAUGAAAAGAACUUUGAAAAGAGAGUUAAACAGUACGUGAAAUUGUUGAAAGGGAAACGAUUGAAGCCAGUCGUACCUUCGGGUAAUCAGCCUUUCGGGUGCGAUUCUGUGGAGUUUGAGGAGCUUUAACACCUUCAUGCUUUGCAUAUUCGUGCUCUUGGG